This 144-nucleotide ribosomal RNA is filed under the name Staphylococcus warneri. RNAcentral's name for it is "partial 16S ribosomal RNA". It matches the Rfam family "Bacterial small subunit ribosomal RNA", at positions 1 to 139 of the family's 1533-position model. Lineage: Bacteria; Bacillati; Bacillota; Bacilli; Caryophanales; Staphylococcaceae. The record is from RNAcentral.
UUUAUGGAGAGUUUGAUCCUGGCUCAGGAUGAACGCUGGCGGCGUGCCUAAUACAUGCAAGUCGAGCGAACAGAUAAGGAGCUUGCUCCUUUGACGUUAGCGGCGGACGGGUGAGUAACACGUGGAUAACCUACCUAUGAGUAA